Molecule: ribosomal RNA, 868 nt
Filed under: uncultured archaeon
Lineage: Archaea
Description: partial 16S ribosomal RNA
Rfam family: Archaeal small subunit ribosomal RNA
Source: RNAcentral
CCUGACUGCUAUCGRAUUGAUACUAASCCAUGCGAGUCAUUGUASCAAUACAAGGCAKACGGCUCAGUAACGCGUAGUCAACCUACCCUAUGGACGGGAAUAACCUCGGGAAACUGAGUAUAAUGCCCGAUAGAACACUAUGCCUGGAAAGGUUUGUGUUCCAAACGAUUUAUCGCCGUAGGAUGGGACUGCGGYCUAUCAGYUUGUUGGUGAGGUAAUGGCCCACCAAGACUAUUACAGGUACGGGCUCUGAGAGGAGUAGCCCGGAGAUGGGUACUGAKACACGGACCCAGGCCCUAUGGGGCGCAGCAGGCGAGAAAACUUUGCAAUGUGCGAAAGCACGACAAGGUUAAUCCGAGUGGUUUCUGCUAAAGGAACCUUUUGACAGUCCUAAAAACACUGUUGAAUAASGRGUGGGCWAGUUCUGGUGUCAGCCGCCGCGGUAAAACCAGCACCUCAAGUGGUCAGGAUGAUUAUUGGGCCUAAAGCAUCCGUAKMCGGCUCUGUUARUUUUCGGUUAAAUCWGUACGCUCAACRUACASGCUGCCGGAWAUACUGCAKAGCUAGGGAGUGGGAGAGGUAGACGGYACUCGGUASGRAGGGGUAAAAUCCUUUGAUCUAUUGAUGACCACCUGUGGCGAASGCGGUCUACCAGAACACGUCCGACGGUGAKGGAUGAAAGCUGGGGGAGCAAACCGGAUUAGAUWCCCGGGUAGWCCCAGCUGUWAACUAUGCAACUCWGUGAUGCAUUGGCUUGUKGCCAAUGCAGUGCUGCWGYAAGCCGUUAAKUYUGCCGCCUGGGAAGUACGUACGCAMGUAUGAAACUUAAGGAUUGGCGKGGGASCACCACAGGGGUGAAKCCUGCGGU